This is a long non-coding RNA of Apis cerana (Asiatic honeybee), 402 nucleotides long. RefSeq lists it as uncharacterized. NCBI's taxonomy places the organism in Eukaryota, Metazoa, Arthropoda, Insecta, Hymenoptera, Apidae. The record is from RefSeq and is a predicted model, not a curated record.
AUUCCGCGCCUCUUAUUAUUAUUAUUAUUAAUCGUGGGUGGUAAUUAUAAUCAUCAGAUUUAUUUAUUUCUGAAAUACAUGAAUAUUUUAUUCUAUGAUUUUUUUCUUUAUAAGUACUUUUUGAAAUUUUUAUCGAAACAAAAUAACAUACAAAAUAAUACAUUUUUAUAAUAAUUCAUUUUUAGAAAUAUAUAUAACACAAUUAGGUAUUCUCGCAGGCUAUUGUUAUAAUCGUCUGCAUAAUACCUUAUCAUCGCAAUGCAAUUGAAAAUUAUGUGUACCAAAGCUAUUGAGUCAGAAUAGAAAGAGUCUCGGGAUUGUAGUUGCGAAAUGCAAUACAAUAAUGUUUAAAGUGGAGAUGUUUCAAAAGAGAAAUAUAAAAUAAACCAUUAUAAUACACAA